CGUGGCUUCUGGAGUCUUCUAGAUGAUAGAAAAUUGGUGCACACGUUAAUAUCUCUCUGUAAACCCAACGUGUGGGCCUUUCCUCCUUAAUUCCUGAUAACCCCCUGCAGAAAUAGACAAACACCAAAACUCGUGGAAUUCUGUCAGAUAAAACCCUUAGUCUGGGUGUUGGUUGCAUUUGGAUCCUUUUCCAUGAUUAGUUGACGGUUAAAUGUGAGCAUUAAGGACCGUCAACAAGCUCCCCCAAGCUUAACCUUUGGUCGUCCCUGAGCAAAGCUAAAAUUAGCAAGAAAACAGGGGCUACUUUUAUGCCUCUUACUACAGGGUUUUUAAGUUAUUACUAAGGUCUUAAGUGAUUGAAAAACAGAACGAUCAAGUCAAGCACUAUGUCUCAAGUUCUUCUGUCUUACCUUUGUUCUGGAGUUUUUUGUAAGUUUCCAAAAUAAAACUGAGGCAUUUGCCUUCUUCUCGAAAGAUAUAUAAGUAGAGCUUUAAAAGUUUUAGCAUACUUACUUUGCAUUUUGCUAUGUCAAUGCUCGGAGCAAGGGAGAGGAAUGUCAUACUCCUAGAUCAAGACCUUUGACCUUUUUGAAAAGUUUGUCAUCUCUUACUGGCAUAUUGCUUAUUAGAGGGACCAUGGGCUAUCAUUUUUUCUUUCUUUUUUCAAUCUCUCUCUUUUUUUUCAAGUGGGCACCAAGUACCCCUAAUUCUACUAUCGGACACGUGUCCAUUUUUUCCACUUAGGUGGGUAUCUUUGUACCCCUAAUUCUACUUCGGACACUUGUCCAUUUUACCUCUCGUCUCACUCUCUUUUUUUAAUCAAAUUUUUUCAUAGUCCCAUGCCUCUAACGCAAUAAUACUUCAGAAGAGUGAAUCUUUUAUAUUUUUUAAAACAAAAAGAUCUUGAUCUUUGGAGCAUGACAAUUCUCUCAACCAAAACUACAAGAAUUAACAAUGGUUUGAACAAGCAAGUGCCCACAGUUUUAAUAUUUAUAUCUUAUAAGACUCUAGGUAUUAUGUCAAACAAAAUCUCCCUUUUUUUGAAUUUUUAGAUUUUCAAAAGAUAAAAUCUCCAGAACUCUAGCGAAACUUGGAACAAGUUAAAUAGUAGCUCAGACCUUCUCAUAUCAUGUUGUCAAUUACCUAGACUUGGAUCAAACUUUCUUUUUAUUUUAUUUAAAACUUAGGAUUACACAAAACUAUUGUAUAUUACUCAAAAGAAAAACUUUGUUUGGUUUCAUGGUUAUGCAUUUUUAUUUAUUUAUUUUCAAAUACCAGUAAAUAAAACCAAGAAAGAAAAGUAAUACUUAUCUAGAUACACGUGGGGGUGCCUCCCCCAAGCUGGAUGUUGACAUAGUCGUUCACUCUUGUGGCCUGCAUGUUCGGUCUCACUCUUCUUAAGCCUCAAAAUCCUGCACAACCCUAAUAGACAACAAAACUCGUGGAGCAUGUUAAGGGUUAGGUAAUUGUCUAGAGCUUAUGAGAGCUUAAUGUGAGAAUUCUAUGAACUCAGUCACAUCAAGUUACUCUACCAGGUUGUUUUGUGGCUCGAGAUAGAUUUUCAAGCGUUGGCCAUUUACCUUAAAAGUGUUACCAAUGUCGUUUUGGAUGGUAAUGGUUCCAUGAGUUGAAGUGUCAAUAACCUUGUAUGGUCCAUCCUACUUACUGUGGGGUAUUUUAAACGCAAACAGAAAAAUCCGCAAGCGCAUGAAUACCGAUGUAGCUUUCACCUAGAAGUAUUCUAGAGUAUCGAUUUUCCACAGGGAAUCUGAGUGUACUAAUUAAGAUUCAAGAUCGCCCAAGGAUAACUAUAUAAUUAUUUUUGGUGGGAAGAGAGGAAGUUUCCUGAGAGUUCUCUAGUUGAUCUAAGAAUCAAGAAUUACUUCAAAGAUUAUUUAUUUUGGGACAUCAGAACACUAACCACAGAAAGAGAUGAGAAGGGGGCUAGGAAGCUCUGACUACGGUCCUACAAACACCGAUCCGAACGAGGUGGAAUACGUCGACCGUUAGGGCUGUCACUACCCAAGGGCUACCAUAACAAUCCGUAGGAUUGGGUGCAAUUCCAAGUAAUUGCAAGACUAAACACCACGUCUAAUCUAUUAAUUACUACUCUAGCGUUUCAAAGACUAGAGCACUCGAUGCAAGCGGGAAUCCAAUAAAUAACUUGAAUGUAAAUAAAAGUAAUUAAAGAACUCAGGAAUUUUGAAUUGAAGAACUUGGAGAACGAUGAAGAACGAACCAGUUGCUGCAAAAGUACAAUGUUGAGGAAGAUCCGACAGAUCCGGCUCCUCCUCCGCUCUCCUCUUCUCUCUCCCUAUUUUCUAGAUUACAACUAGAACUAACUAGAACUAGAACUA
RNAcentral lists this long non-coding RNA (2357 nucleotides) under Sorghum bicolor (sorghum). RNAcentral describes it as "long non-coding RNA (SBIC_LNC006263)". Lineage: Eukaryota; Viridiplantae; Streptophyta; Magnoliopsida; Poales; Poaceae. The record is from RNAcentral.